CGAUAAAUGAAUAGAUUAAUAGAUAAUAAUUUUUAGUGCCUAAACCACUUGAACACCCCCCCCCCUGCAAAUUUUUCCACACAUUCGAGAAGAAACAAAACAAUUGAAGUUAACAAAGAAACGUGAUAACAUCCUCUGCACAUCCACAGAUAACAUCCCUUGCACAUAGAAGAAACAUAAGCACGAAAUGCAAAACGACACAAAAGCGAGGGCCCAAUACAAUUUACUUUAACGAAGAAAGCGAGGGCGUAAAAAAAUAAACUAAUUGUGAAUGAGAUAAGAUCAGUGUAUUGUUGACCCAGGGAUUAAAUUAAAUCGAAAUCGAAAUAAAUCACACAGAGACCUGUGGAACAGACACAAGUACAGUGCAAAGACUCAACGCAUCUAUCAUAUAGGUAAGCUAUUUUUCAUUUUUUACAAAACAUUUUAGAUUUGUACGGUUCGUUUUACUUUAGAAUCCAGAACAUUGCAUGGCGUGUAGAAAAAUCAGUGCUCGAUGAUUUAUAUUUUUCAACGGGAGUGUUCCCAAACGUGAAAAUAUAGUAGCAAUUUUUGUAUUUCUAGCUUAUCGUGAACCACUUUAACCACUGUUAUUCAUAGCAAACUCUCAUUUCAAGAGUAUCUUACUUUUUUAAAACUCUUUACUUACGUUCCACGCAUGCAUGGCGUGCUGUAGCGAAAAAGCAAAAAAUCUUGAUGAAAAAAAAGAUGCAGUACGGUGAAGUGUUAAGAAAGAGAAAAUAUCGACUCAUAUUGUGUGGUUUCAAAUCAUUUUUGUGGUGUUCGUUUGUAAGUAACAUGCUGGGAUUUCUAUGAAGUGCAGAACGUAUGUAUGACAAGACUCGUGUUUCACGAUAAAAUCUAACAAUACACAAGGCGGCAAGGGUAUUCUAGUGUCACAAUAAAAGUACAUUCUACAAUAGUAAGCCAUGAUCUUUUUCUUUCGUACUACGCAGACUUUAUUAUAUUUAUUAAUCAAGGAGGGAAAAAUCAUAAUAAUGCAUAAUUAAUACAAUGAUCGUUAUCACACAUUCUACACAGAAAACAUCUAAUAGUUUAUAUAUCAGUUCUUUUUUCUUUUAACUUACAAACAUAAAAUGCAACCAUAUGAUGGUGUAACUUAAUGAAAUGUUUCAGUGUUGUACAAUGUGAAUGAAGAAUAAAAAGCGAUAUCUGCGGUGUGAUAAUUAGCAACCACAUAUGAAAUUAAGAAGGUGAAAAUGAGCGAACAAUGUUAUCAUGGAAAUCUUGAUCACAAUUUACAUUCCUAUUGUAGCAAGGAAUGCCUCCAAGCUAAGCUGUGUCGUGAUGAUGGGGUUUAGUAAUGGCACAGAAUAGAGACAAACAGAAGCCAGACUUCUUGGUUUUUCCAAUGAUUUUGGCGUAACCGUAGUUCCUCAUCAAAAUGCUGAUGCCACAGGCCUAGGCAGUACGCCUAUGAGAGGCAUCUCCCGAUAAUAUUAAAAAUGGUGGACGUCCAGGGAAGUCUCUCAAAAGCGCACUGGACCAUGGGGUCAGCAUUUUGAUGACGAAUCCUGGCGUGGCAGCGGUUACGCUUAUGUGGCUGAGUCGACCUUCUGUGUGUUUUUAUUCUGUGGUAAAGGGCUCUUCACAUGAUUGUGGUUUGCCAAAACGGAAGGCGGGAUGAUUUUGAUGUAUUGAAAUCAAUCACUAGACUUAAACGAAAGCUCGAACGCCAGUUAAAAGACCUCAAAUGUUGUCGAGAAGAUCUCGUAGUUCAAGAAGAUUAUUAUUGCUGCGUUUACAAUUAUACCAAAUCUAUCACUAAAAAAAUAAUGUAGUUUUGCUAUGGAUCGUACACGGUGACGUAUGUCAGUACAUCAAAUCAUCUCGCAUCUCGCCGCGGUAAACCAGCAAACCAGGAUGAUGUAAACAGCUCCUUAAGCAUUGCAGGGCAGACGAUUGUGGUUAACGUCAGAGACAUUUGCUUCUUGUUCAUUAUAGAGAAACAAGGAUGAAAGCUUCACAUGUAUGCCUCGUGAUUUUGGCAAAUUUCUGCUUAUCAACGCUAGCACUACCGGCAUUAGGAAAAGGUUAGAUAUUUUAUACCAAAUAUAUUUAUGAUGUAUACUCCUCUCUAAAGCAACCUCUUAAAUAUGUUCCCCUCCUCUUAAUAACGCCCUUUGUUCAGAGAAAUGAUUUAAUCAAGCCGGACUAACCCUAAUCCAAGGUAAUGUCAAAAAGGGAUGAAUGAGAGGUAGUUUACGAGAUGGUUCCAAAAUUGAAACAAGAGUUGGCGUUAGUACUAAUUAGGGUUAAUGUGGGGGUUAGGAUUAGGUAAGGGUAAGGUUUAGUAUUGUUGCAAUUGGCUGGUUGUUGUUUCUUCAACGUUUUAAAAACUAGCGGUCAUCUUGAAAAUCUGCCUCUAGUCCAUCCCCUUUAGCUACGAC
RNAcentral lists this long non-coding RNA (2411 nucleotides) under Paramuricea clavata. Lineage: Eukaryota; Metazoa; Cnidaria; Anthozoa; Malacalcyonacea; Plexauridae. The record is from RNAcentral.